UUUAAAAGAAACUGGGUGGGCUUUCCAAAACGGAACCAAUCGAAAUUUCAGCGAAAGUAUAAGGAAUUUCGUCAUGAAACUUGGUGAGGAUGUUGGGGGAGGCCUCCUCAACAUGAAUUGUUCACUCUCACAAUAUAAUUGCUAAUAGUAUUUUAGCAAUUUGUUGUUAAAUAAUGUCCACUAUCACCCCCUAAUUUUUUUAAAAUAUGCCACUUAUCACUUAUAUUUU
Rhagoletis pomonella (apple maggot) is the source of this 229-nucleotide long non-coding RNA. RefSeq lists it as uncharacterized. The transcript has 3 exons. Lineage: Eukaryota; Metazoa; Arthropoda; Insecta; Diptera; Tephritidae. The record is from RefSeq and is a predicted model, not a curated record.